Molecule: ribosomal RNA, 1065 nt
Filed under: Triticum aestivum (bread wheat)
Lineage: Eukaryota; Viridiplantae; Streptophyta; Magnoliopsida; Poales; Poaceae
Description: partial small subunit ribosomal RNA
Source: RNAcentral
AUGAGAAAAUACAACUUCCCAUGCGCUAUUUUAUCUGACAGGGUUGGAAACUCACUUAAGCACCUUUCACUUCGUUUUUGUGACCUCCAUCCCACAGUUGAACUUGGCCCCUUGAGAAGCCUGACAAGGCUGUACCUCUGCUGUGUGAGCAUUACGUGGAAUGAGUUAGAGUGCCUUCUUUCCAACUCUCCUGCUUUGGAGCUAUUAGAUCUUACUAGUUGCGCUGAGAUUAGGUCUCUGAAGUUAUCUUGUGCCCUGCAGCGCCUCAUUGUGCUUAGUGUUUUAGAAUGCGAGAGAUUGACAGUGAUAGAGAGCAAAGCACCAAAUCUCUCUAGUCUUUACCUUAGAGGAAGCAGGUUAGACUUCUCACUUGUGGAAACAUUGCAAAUGAAGGAAUUAUACUUGCAACAAGACAACCUUAUCCGUGAUGCCUGUGCCAAGCUGCCACCCAUUCUGCCAAAUAUUGAAACUCUUGUCAUAGAAUCACCGUGGGAGGUGGUCGAUGCACCAAUGCUGCCUACCAAAUUCCUCUACCUUAAGCACCUGAACGUUAAUUUGAGAACAGGAACAACCGAGUACCGGCCAUAUGACUAUUUUUCUCUGGUUUCUUUCCUGGAUGCUUCUCCUUCCUUGGAGACUUUGAAAUUAGAUGUGACUCAGUUGCGUAUGUUGCACAAGUCAAUUUUUGCUGAUUCUCAACUGAGGCACAUGCCUGAACACCGCCAUAGCUGCCUCAAGAGCGUGAAGAUCAGUGGUUUCAGCUCUGCGAAGUGCUUGAUUGAACUGACAUGUUAUAUUCUCAAGAACGCGGUGUCACUUGAGUGUCUUACAUUGGACACCAUUUAUGGGCAUAGGUGUUAUGAUGACGGCAAGUACGAUUGGUGUAUGCCCAUGGGUGUUGGUAUUCUCAUGGAAACCCCCAGGGCACUCUCGGCUAUCAGAACAUACAUUGAGAAUAAAGUUCCAUCUACAGUUAAGUUAACUGUUAUGGAGCCUUGCAGCCCAUGCCAUGCUAAAGCAUUACGGCGGGCAUUAUCACAGUCGUGCAAUGCCGUUUCCAUUUGA